GACGAACGCUGGCGGCGUGCUUAACACAUGCAAGUCGAACGGAAAGGCCCUGCUUUUGUGGGGUGCUCGAGUGGCGAACGGGUGAGUAACACGUGAGUAACCUGCCCUUGACUUUGGGAUAACUUCAGGAAACUGGGGCUAAUACCGGAUCGGAGCUCCUGCUGCAUGGAGGGGGUUGGAAAGUUUCGGCGGUUGGGGAUGGACGCGCGGCUUAUCAGCUUGUUGGUGGGGUAGUGGCUUACCAAGGCUUUGACGGGUAGGCGGCCUGAGAGGGGGACCGGCCACAUUGGGACUGAGAUACGGCCCAGACUCCUACGGGAGGCAGCAGUGGGGAAUAUUGCACAAUGGGCGGAAGCCUGAUGCAGCAACGCCGCGUGCGGGAUGACGGCCUUCGGGUUGUAAACCGCUUUCGCCUGUGACGAAGCGUGAGUGACGGUAAUGGGUAAAGAAGCACCGGCUAACUACGUG
This 468-nucleotide ribosomal RNA is filed under the name uncultured bacterium. RNAcentral describes it as "partial 16S ribosomal RNA". It matches the Rfam family "Bacterial small subunit ribosomal RNA", at positions 28 to 507 of the family's 1533-position model. The record is from RNAcentral.